CUUCUUCAAAAAUAUAGCUCACAGUCAUUUAUUCUAUUUGUUUUCCUUUGUAUAUAAUGCUUGCUCCUGUAACAGACGGUUUUCUUCCAGCAGCACAUUAAGAAACAAAAUUAACACAUCGUGGUAACUACCUGGUUUGUUCCAGGUGAUUCAAUGCUUUGUACCUCAGGCAUUUGCAUUACAGCUUAAUCCAUUACAGACUCUGAAACAGCAACCUGUCAGUGUGCGACAGCAGCACCCUCAGCACAACAUACCAUGUCUGGCUGCAUCGAGAAUGGGACUGACCACGCUGUCAGAGCCAUUGCUUCCAACCCUCAUUUGGAUCUGAGUAGCGAUGAGAAAGAAGCCUCUUCCCCCCCCCCAGUUGUGCAAUCUUCACUUGAGAAUUCCUCAACUCCACUUUGCUUCUUUGCCUACAAUCAAAUGAAUCAGCCAUGAACAGAACCCAGCCAGAAACCUCUACCACGUAUUGACGUCUGGAAAAUGUGACUCUGGGAAGCCAUCAUUCUCUAACUACAAUG
Molecule: long non-coding RNA, 521 nt
Filed under: Coturnix japonica (Japanese quail)
Lineage: Eukaryota; Metazoa; Chordata; Aves; Galliformes; Phasianidae
Description: lncRNA (ENSCJPG00005016820.1)
Source: RNAcentral